AAAAAAAACAAGAGAGAAAGAAAGAAAAGUGGCGAACCGUUUCUGGCAAAAGAGACGAUUCUUAGCAUUUAUUGAGAGUUGUCAUUCAACUAAUGGUUUAUUU
RNAcentral lists this small RNA (103 nucleotides) under Arabidopsis thaliana (thale cress). Its description in RNAcentral is "ATSL073000". Lineage: Eukaryota; Viridiplantae; Streptophyta; Magnoliopsida; Brassicales; Brassicaceae. The record is from RNAcentral.